GGGAUCUUGCGCAAUGGGCGAAAGCCUGACGCAGCGACGCCGCGUGGGGGAUGAAGGCCCUCGGGUUGUAAACCCCUUUCGGCAGGGACGCAGCGAUCGUGACGGUAGCUGCAGAAGAAGCCUCCGCUAACUACGUGCCAGCAGCCGCGGUAAGACGUAGGCGGCGAGCGUUGUCCGGAUUCACUGGGCGUAAAGAGCGCGCAGGCGGCCCGGUCAGUCGGAUGUGAAAACCCGGGGCUCAACCCCGGGCAUGCACCCGAUACUGCCGAGCUAGAGGUAGGUAGGGGAGAUCGGAAUUCCUGGUGUAGCGGUGAAAUGCGCAGAUAUCAGGAGGAACACCGGUGGCGAAGGCGGAUCUCUGGGCCUUACCUGACGCUCAGGCGCGAAAGCUAGGGGAGCGAAC
This 403-nucleotide ribosomal RNA is filed under the name uncultured bacterium. RNAcentral's name for it is "bacterial SSU rRNA". It matches the Rfam family "Bacterial small subunit ribosomal RNA", at positions 358 to 773 of the family's 1533-position model. The record is from RNAcentral.